Molecule: ribosomal RNA, 180 nt
Filed under: uncultured bacterium
Lineage: Bacteria
Description: partial 16S ribosomal RNA
Rfam family: Bacterial small subunit ribosomal RNA
Source: RNAcentral
GACUCCGUGAAGCUGGAUUCGCUAGUAAUCGCGCAUCAGCCAUGGCGCGGUGAAUACGUUCCCGGGCCUUGUACACACCGCCCGUCAAGCCAUGGGAGCCGGGGGGUGCUUGAAGUGCGUCGCCGCAAGGCGCGCCCUAGAGCAAAACCGGUGACUGGGGCUAAGUCGUAACAAGGUAAC